This 253-nucleotide ribosomal RNA is filed under the name uncultured bacterium. Its description in RNAcentral is "partial 16S ribosomal RNA". It matches the Rfam family "Bacterial small subunit ribosomal RNA", at positions 524 to 776 of the family's 1533-position model. The record is from RNAcentral.
GACGUAGGGCGCGAGCGUUGUCCGGAUUUAUUGGGCGUAAAGAGCUCGUAGGUGGUUUGUCGCGUUGUCCGUGAAAACUCACAACUCAAUUGUGGGCGUGCGGGCGAUACGGGCAGACUGGAGUACUGCAGGGGAGACUGGAAUUCCUGGUGUAGCGGUGGAAUGCGCAGAUAUCAGGAGGAACACCGGUGGCGAAGGCGGGUCUCUGGGCAACAACUGACGCUGAGGAGCGAAAGCGUGGGGAGCGAACAGG